Molecule: small RNA, 272 nt
Filed under: Marmota monax (woodchuck)
Lineage: Eukaryota; Metazoa; Chordata; Mammalia; Rodentia; Sciuridae
Source: RNAcentral
GGGGGGGGUUAUUUGUGGGGUAAAAUGGUAUUCUAUGCUUUCUUAAUAUCAAGAAUAAAUUAUUUUCAGAAGUAAUAUAUAUUUCCUUUUUUAAAGAGUGUGUGUGUGUGUGUGUGUGUGUGUGUGAGAGAGAGAGAGAGAGAGAGAAAUUUUUAAUGCUUAUUUUUUAGUUUUCGGCGGACACAACAUCUUUGUUUGUAUGUGGUGCUGAGGAUCGAACCCGGGCCGCACGCAUGCCAGGCGAGCGCGCUACCGCUUGAGCCACAUCCCCA